Molecule: ribosomal RNA, 445 nt
Filed under: uncultured bacterium
Lineage: Bacteria
Description: partial 16S ribosomal RNA
Rfam family: Bacterial small subunit ribosomal RNA
Source: RNAcentral
GUAAGGAAUAUUGGACAAUGGACGCAAGUCUGAUCCAGCCAUGCCGCGUGAAGGAUUAAGGUCCUCUGGAUUGUAAACUUCUUUUAUAAGGGACGAAAAAAGGCUUUUCUAAGUCGUCUGACGGUACCUUAUGAAUAAGCACCGGCUAACUCCGUGCCAGCAGCCGCGGUAAUACGGAGGGUGCAAGCGUUAUCCGGAUUCACUGGGUUUAAAGGGUGCGUAGGCGGGCAGGUAAGUCAGUGGUGAAAUACUAGAGCUUAACUCUAGAACUGCCAUUGAUACUAUCUGUCUUGAAUAUUGUGGAGGUAAGCGGAAUAUGUCAUGUAGCGGUGAAAUGCUUAGAUAUGACAUAGAACACCUAUUGCGAAGGCAGCUUACUACGCAUAUAUUGACGCUGAGGCACGAAAGCGUGGGGAUCAAACAGGAUUAGAAACCCCUGUAGUCC